CUAAUUCCAAAUCCCUAAUUCUAAACCUAAUUUUCCUUUCCCAGCUGCCAUUACCCCCUUCUCCUUUCUGAAACACCAACAUACACACAUGCACAGGGAUGGAGAAGAGAGAAAGAGAGGGCGCCAGCGGAGAAGAAGAGGGGAGGGAGCCGCGCCACCACCAUCCAGCUUGUCGCGCCGCUGCCACGGUGCCGUCGUAGUCGCCGAGAAGAGAAGAGAGGGAGAAGAGGAAUGCAGCCAGUAGCCAGGGGUAGUCACCGUCGCCGCCUUGGAGCCAUCACUGUCGCCGAGCCGCACGUCAUCACCGCUGCGAAUUGCGAGUAGAGGAGAGGGAUAGAGACGCGUUCGCGAGGGAGCUACUGCCGUGGAGAAACUUAUCACCGCGACCGUCGCAGCACCGCGACCGUCACAGCACCGCCAUCCUCGCUACCAUCCGCGCCUCUGUUACCAUCGUUGAAGCGAACGAGAGAGAAGGAGACGUGGAAGGAGGAGCCGUUGAAGCGAACUUGCUGCCGUCACGUCCUGCCUAGCCACCGUCAUCGAAGCCUUAUUGCCGUUGAUUAAGGAUGUUAUCGUGAAGCUCAAGGAUAACGCGUAGAAGUUGAAUGGAGUUGUCUUUCCAUUGCUAAAAUCAUGCUUCGAUUUCUGCCCUGUACUGCCUGGAUCCAUUCACCAUUUUGCCCGCCUCUGUUCCGGUGGGGUUUGCUGUUCUUCAUGGUGAGACUGAAUUUGUUUUACUUCUUUCACCAUGAUAAUUUGUUUUAGUUUUACCUAAAAGCCAUUUCAUGUUACUUUUAAUUUAUGUCAGAAUAAACUGUUGUUGUUCAGUGUUGAUGUUGCUUCAGUUGCAGUUCCAAACCCCAUUUGGUUCUAGUUUUGGUUCUGUUUCGAGCUGCGUUGCCAUCUGGGUAGUCACCAACCACAGCUGCCGUUGCUGGAGCUCACCGGAGCUGCUGUUAUGCCGUUCCUUCUUUUAUUCUUAACUUCAAUUUGCUGGAGUUAAAGCUGCAGUUGAUUUUGGGGCUGAGGGAAAGGGUUUCUGGUGACGGAUUUAAUUUAUGGAUUUGACUUUCCGAGCAGGAUUGAUUUGCAGCAAAACCAACCAACAUGGGAAAAAAGAAAUUGUUAGAGUCCCGAUGCUCACCCAGCUACAUUCAUAACAUGAUGAGAACGAUAUCUAAAAAUAACUCCGUUGAGAAGCUUGUGGACAUUGAUGAGAUCGGAUUCGGAUUCUUGAGGCGUGUUCCAAAUUGGUCUGUAAAGCAAGCCAUCAUGGUUCACCUAGCUGAGUCGUAUCAAGUAAAGCAGAGAACUUUUAUACUCGACAUAGACAACAUCUGCCUCAAUGCUGAGUUAAUCGGGAAGGUCUUCGGCCUUCCGUCUCAAGUGGUUUGCCCCAGUCUGUAUUGAUCGUCAUUGGUGGUUGUAUGCCUUUGAGAUAUAUCAGAAAAGGCUGUGGGUACUGGAUAGUAUGUAUACAGGAGAACCUAAUAAUGAAAGAUUAAAAAUACAUGCUUAUGCGGGGAGACUCAUUGAAGACAUGAGAAAAGUUACGAUUUCCGCAUAUGAGCACACGGAGUACGGUCUACCUCGUUUCUAUCCUAGUGUACCAAGACAAGAUAACGGCUGGGAUUGUGGUGUAUUCGACAUCAAGUUCAUGCAGUUUUGGAGUUUAGAUAAACCCUUGCAGCAUUGGGACAAGAUGAAGUUAGAUAUAUUAUAACAAUUAAUUUGAAGCUCUUUCUAGUCAGUUUCUUUCUCGGAUUUAAAAUUACCCUUCCACACAAAAUUGUCAUGCAGGACGUUGUACAGGAGUUUAGGAAUGAGAUCAUACUAGACAUAGUCUUGGGUCCUCAUAAUUCACAAAUUGGGAUGGCGCUGCAGGCAUUGAACAACGCUCCUGUGCGCCGUAACCAGCCAAGGAAAAAGACUAAGGAUGUGAAAUCACCCUUCACAGCACCAAGCACGAGGAGCAUGCUGCAGCGUACGGGGUUACCCACUAGAAAGACAGCCAGGGGGGAGACAACGGAAGAAGACAGAUGCACAGAUUCAUGAUUUCAUGUUGCGGAUUUUGUCAAGUUGAUGGUGACAAUCAAGACAAAUCCUCUGCAUGGAUGGUGCUCAUGCUAGGCAUUAGGAUGUUUCUUUUCUUUGUAAAUUUGAUGGUUUUGAAUUUAUUUUUUGAUCUAUCAUAUUUUAGGCAUUUGAACUUGUAUAUACUUAAUUGAGAAGUGAAUUGCUCGUGUUUUGUUAGAUACUCCUCAGCAGGUUUCGUAUGUUAGGUAUUUCAGGAUUCUCAAGAAAUUAGUUUCAAUCUAUGGAUAUCAAUAAUUCAAUAAGAAAUGCACUGCAUAUUUAUACUAUUUCGUCAA
RNA transcript from Arachis duranensis, 2372 nucleotides. It is a transcript of the gene named putative ubiquitin-like-specific protease 1B, with no coding region annotated. NCBI's taxonomy places the organism in Eukaryota, Viridiplantae, Streptophyta, Magnoliopsida, Fabales, Fabaceae. The record is from RefSeq and is a predicted model, not a curated record. The transcript is spliced from 8 exons.